UCGACCUGAGGUCAGGCAAGAACACCCGCUGAACUUAAGCAUAUCAAUAAGCGGAGGAAAAGAAACUAACUAGGAUUCCCUUAGUAGCGGCGAGCGAACCGGGAUGAGCCCAACUUGUAAAUCAUUAGCCCUCGGCUAAUUGAAUUGUAGUCUCAAGAUGCGAUCUCUGCAGCUAGCAGUGCCCAAUUUUCCUUGGAAAAGGGAGUCAGAGAGGGUGAUAACCCCGUCGGCACUUGCCUCAGCUGCUCCACGAGGCGU
RNAcentral lists this ribosomal RNA (258 nucleotides) under uncultured Trebouxia photobiont. Its description in RNAcentral is "partial 26S ribosomal RNA". It matches the Rfam family "Eukaryotic large subunit ribosomal RNA", at positions 1 to 254 of the family's 3401-position model. Lineage: Eukaryota; Viridiplantae; Chlorophyta; Trebouxiophyceae; Trebouxiales; Trebouxiaceae. The record is from RNAcentral.